RNAcentral lists this ribosomal RNA (465 nucleotides) under uncultured bacterium. Its description in RNAcentral is "partial 16S ribosomal RNA". It matches the Rfam family "Bacterial small subunit ribosomal RNA", at positions 338 to 795 of the family's 1533-position model. The record is from RNAcentral.
CCUACGGGGUGCUGCAGUGGGGAAUUUUGCGCAAUGCUCGUAAGAGUGACGCAGCGACGCCGCGUGAAUGACGAAGGCCUUCGGGUCGUAAAGUUCUUUCGACAGGGAAGAAAAUGCCUAUAAGUAACUGUGUAUGUAUUGACGGUACCUGUAUAAGCAGCCCCGGCUAACUCCGUGCCAGCAGCCGCGGUAAUACGGAGGGGGCGAGCGUUGUUCGGAGGGACUGGGCGUAAAGAGCACGUAGGCGGUGUUGUAAGUCAUUAGUCAAAGACUAGAGCUCAACUUUAGUAGGGCUAGGGAUACUAUAAGACUAGAGUAUCAGAGAGGAUUGCAGAAUUCCUGGUGUAGCGGUGAAAUGCGUAGAUAUCAGGAGGGAUACCGUUGGCGAGGGCGGCAAUCUGGCUGGAAACUGACGCUGAGGUGCGAAAGCGUGGGUAGCAAACAGGAUUAGAUACCCUAGUAGUC